This 6781-nucleotide long non-coding RNA is filed under the name Sus scrofa (pig). Its description in RNAcentral is "lncRNA (ENSSSCG00050032553.1)". Lineage: Eukaryota; Metazoa; Chordata; Mammalia; Artiodactyla; Suidae. The record is from RNAcentral.
CACUAAGCAACGAAGCCAAAGCAGGAAAGUCGACUCAAAGCAGUCAAAACGAGACCUGCUCGUGGUGGUGAUCUCACUGGACUGGCCCCUUCACUCUUGGCCCUGGGGUGCCCUGCCAGAUUGGACAACCUCUCAGACUGAGUGGUUGACCCUGGUGGGGAAGUCAGCUGUUAUGAUGUUGCCACACGUCCCCUCUCCCAGCCUAGGAUGCAAAAGCUGCCUUUUCCCCAUUUCCUGUUUCCCCCUCGCCACCGCCGUUCUGUUGGGGCAUGUACAUGCAAGGAGAGUAGCAUUCAGGAUUCCUACGUUCUCUGACUCUCUUUUAGCGCCUGCAUUGGCUGUUCGCCAAGGCAACUGGAGCGCAUUUUCAAAAAGCAGGUGAGUUUGGGGGAAGAUCUCGUAUCUCCUCCAAUAUUUUAAUUCCCUGCAAAUUAGAGCAGUCAGGACCCCCUCGGAAAGGUAUAUAAUCACCCCCGGCACCUCCAAAUUAAAGACCCUCAACAAGGGGGUCCUUCUCAAGGGAAAAGUACCCAGGUAUGGUAGCUGCUUUUAAGACAUUCGAGAAGCGACACACAGCUUAUAUUUCUGAUAUGAAAACCACUCUGUCUUCCUUGUAAGCAACCAUUUGAUGGGUGGCAUUGCAGUCACAGGUGUGAAACAUCUGGUUGUAACCAGAGUGGGGGUGACUGGCUCACCGCGGAGGACGGCAGGUACAAGGUCUUGUACCUGGCCCACACAUGCAAAUUCCCACCUGGAAACUGACUCUCCCCUGUCAGAAUUCAACAGGUUAAUGUCAGCAGCUGGCAGAGGUCUGGCCGUGGUUACACUGAGUGCUGCAUGGCGACAGGUAAAGGACAACAGAAGGCCUUCAGAGAAGGGACGGCAGAUUGUCCGAGGGGCAGGUGCCCUGGCUUGCUACGCCAGGGGAGAGAACAGGCCCUGACUCAGCGCCAGGAUUGGAGGUGCAGGGAAAAGAACCAGAAGACGCCUGGACAGGAAAAAGAUGCUGACAAGCACCAAUGAUGGGGCACUUACUCUCUCCUCACCAGGCACCAUGCCAGGUCUAGGUAAGGUCUCUCAUUUGAUCCCAGCGAGAGCCCCAUUUUACAGAAAGGGAAACUGCCACCAUAAGGAAAAGACAGACCCAAAGCAGGAACCAGGAACAGCCCUAGUACCAAAGCACCCAGAAGGCACAGGACUUGAAAUCGGUUGCCAAGAAAAAUUCAGGAACCUGAAUUCUUUAUAGUCACGGCAAUGAGGAUUAAGAGAGAUGUGCAUCUAAGCCCCUGUGUCUUUUCAGCUGACUCCCCUUUAUUGGGCCAGCUGUGCCUAUCACACCUCGAGAUGGCUGGUGAGGGCUGGCUUGGCGAGGACUGGGACCAGAAAAGGGACGGAGAGGUGUCUGCAAUAGAUUCCUUCCAAGAGCGGGUGAAUGGCCACAUGCACUCCAGCCCCCACACUAGUGGGAGAAGAAGAUCAAUGUAUCACAGUAAAAGAACUGGCCCACGAAUUUGAGCUCUGUUUACACUUCUGAAAUCAGUGCGAAUCAUUUCCCUAUUCGCAACUGAGAUGUUCUGCCGUCAUUAAUACCUGUUGAUAAGUGCAAAUCGGGCUGGAAUUUCUUUCGCAGAGACCCGUGCUCAAGCCUACCGACAACUGCAGUCAAAGCGCAGGUCCCGCUGAAAGUAACACACCAUAGAAGUCACCACAGAACUCUGAUUCAUAAAUUGUCUAAAUAGUCUUUCCCCACAGACAACAUUAGCCCUUUGUUUGAUCUCGAGCCAAAACAGUUCUUGGCUCUGAUUAGCCGUCAGUGAACAAAUGAUACCAUAUUACAGCACCCAGCCACGAGAGUGAACACCUCCUACACUGCGGAAAAGCGGGCAUCUCUCAGCCUCAGCCCCCUGCGUCUAGAAGCAGAAAAGCCCAAAAGUGCAUGAGAAGAGUUAGAUCCUGCCUGGUCUAUUGGAAGGGCUAGACAACCUUAAAAGGUGACAGACGUCAGAGCAAUCCGUUUCCACUGGUUGGGCCGGACUGUGACACGGAGUCAGGGGGUUUGGAUGAGACGCUCAAACAAUGACAACACAGUUGCAUUCCCAGCUGUGUGAAAUGCCCAGCAUAUCAUGAUUGCCUUUUCACGCAAAUGUCAAUGACAUAAUCCUAACAGGCUUGCAGCGCUCUCACUGGUGUAAUAAAACAAUGACCCAAUUAUUGUGGAGGGCUGAGGCAGCAGAUGUGAUGACUGGGUAUGCUGUGCAGGGCACUGUGUGUGAUGGACGGGGCACAGUAGGGCAGGAAAGUGUGUGCCGAGGAUUUGAAAUUUGCCUCCCAAGCCAAAACUCCCACCAUUCAUCGGGUGGGGUAGGGAGGGGGGGAAAGCCAUUCACUAUGAAAGUUCCCACUUGUUCUCAUGACGGAGGCCAGUUGGGAAAAUGUGGCACAGCGCUGAUUGAAGCAAAUUCUGUUUAAAGAACCAGCCGGUUUGUGGGUAUCUGUUUAUUUAUAACUCUCCCCUCCUCCUCCCCCACACCCAGCUUCAGUUCCGUAAAGGAUCUGAGAUGGGACUGGAACGCUGAAAGUUUGUUUAAGUCCUAAACUGGUCCGGCUGCUUUUCAGGUUGACGACAAAAUGAACCGCUGAAAAGGGAGCGCCUUGCUCUAGAGAUGCUGCCUCGCUUAUUCUCCUUAGCACCUCCCGUCCCCCCUUGUAUCCCGCAGGGAGAGGAGGGACCUCUUGCACCUCUUGCACACACCUUGUCUCCAGGGCUACAUUUUAAUGUAAACCAGGGAAAUAAACAUGAGCCCAUAAGCCUGAGGCUGGGAAAAUAAAGAACAUGGAUUCUGGCCCUCCCUCUCUCCCUCAUUCAUUUACUCAACAAAUAUUGAUUGGUACCUGUUCUGGAACAAGCUCUAUUCCAGGCACAGGGGAAGCAAAUGAAGAAGCCAGAGUCCUUGCACUUGGAAAGCUCCCAGUCCAGUGGAAGGCUAUACUAUCAGGGCUGCGGUGGGGUAGCGUGGGGGCUACCAGGGGAACAGAUGGUUCCAUUCACGGCCUCAGCCUGCCGCGGGUUCAACUUUCCAUUCUGCCUCUCGCUACCUGCACGACCUUGGGCACUCUGCUUAACAUCUCAGAGCCUCGAUUCCCUCAUCUGUAAAAUGGGGCUAAUAAUAGAAUUGACGUCAUUGGGUUAUCAUGAGGAUUAAAUGAGAUAAUCUGGGUAGAACACUUAGAACAGUUCCUGGCACAUAGCAAGCAUCCAGUCAAAAGUCAGUUUUUUAAUGCUUUCUAUUCCUUUUGUUUGACUUUCGUAAGACUGUGUCUGGUGAUGAGACUCCAAGGACUGGUUUCUAAAACAAAACUGCUUUCAACAAACUCCUCCCUUUAGCCUGAUUUUUUUUUUUUUCAUUUGGGAUGACACAGUUCUGUCAUGAUUUUUCCCUCAGCAACCAUAUGUCUGGCAAAAAAAAAACCUCAAGGAAAAAAUAUGUCCCAGAUGCUUUUGUUUAUGUCCACCUACUAUGUGCCAAGCACCCCACUAGAUGAGAGAAACACAUUGCCAAGCGGUAAAGACAAGGUCCCUGGCCUCCUGGAGUUUACAUUCCAGUGAGAAAGGCAGACUAGAAACAGCCACGUAGAAAUAGAUAUAAUUACCCAGAAGGGUGAGGGGGGUUAAGGAAACACAGCCGAUAAAAGGAAUCUUAGGAGGGCACUAACUGUAGGUGGUCAGAGAAGGCGUAUCUCGGGAGGUGACCCUAAAGCUGAGACCGAAAGGUUAAGAAGAAGCCUCCCGGGUCCACAGCAAGAGCAAAGGCAGUCCAGGCUGCAGGAACAGUAUGUGCAAAGGCCCUGGGGCAGGAGGAGACUUUGGGAAGGCGAGAUUAAUGGACUUACCCACAAUGCCUUGCACACAGUAGGCUCCAUAUAAUUGUCCGUCAGCAGGGCGGGGCUGGGGCCCUCCGCCUUCCAAAUUCGGACUGAGAGUUCCCACCACAACUAGGAAUCAGCUACCCAGGAGGACUGAAACAUAUAGUCUUUUUCGUUUGGUGAAUCAUAGGCAACACGCAUUAGAGUGUAGGGUCGAGUGGCCCCAGCUGCCGUCUGAGUGUAAGGGGCGGGGGUGGGCUCAGACCGCGGCCGAAGCUUUUUAGCAUGUUUAUGAUGAGCUGAAAGCACUCACUGCUUAAUUUAAAAUACCGCUCACACAUACACAUACAAUUCAGCAGCUGGGGGAGCUGCCAGGAAUUGAGGCUAAGUGUAGAAAAUUGGAGGAUCAGAAAUAUCGGGUACCCAGCCCGGUUUCCCAGCUCCCACGGGCUGUCUCUGACCCUGUCACAGUCCCAUCUCCCCCACGACCCCUAGCCUGGUCAAGACAUGGAGCGGGGCAGCCGCGGUUUGGGGGAAGCGGGGGGGUCUCUGCCGAGCCCUCCGUGCCGGCAACGCUACCAGUUCUACCUAGUCUUAAGCUUGCCGUCCUUCCUCUCCAUCCACCACGCCUAUUAACCACCCCCCCACCCCCCACCCCCCGCCGCCAAAACCCAAACCCGCUCUCACGGUGAAGCCUGCCUUUGCGGGGUUCCCCCCACCUUCAUAUUCUUGGAAAUCUGACAGUUGAGAAAACUCAUUUGGCCCUGAUCACAAAUUGCUUGGGCUGGUGGCUGCUUUUUCUAGUGUGUGUAUCUUACCUCUCCCACCACAAGGGGGCCCUGGGCACACAUUUGAGGAAGGGAGUUGCUUUCUUCUGUCUUCCCCACAGCUCUCAGCACAGGGGUAGGUACACAGCAAGAGUCCCCUGUGCCUCUGCUCAUGGAUUACAGGAUAGUAUCAUUGCAAAAGCCUUUGGGGCGGAGGAACCGCUCUUGAUAGAAAAACAAGAACUUCAACUUGACAAAAUGUGAACCCCUCGGGGGCAUCCACUUUCCUUCCCACUGCUCCCUUUACACCCAUGUAUCCUGCUUACAAACUGGAGGAAGCCGCAGCCUUUGCAAUCAAAAUGCCCCCAAGUCCAUCACUUUAUUCAUAAUAUCCCUUCUGAUGAGGGGCACUCUUUCCCAACACUACCUAUCAAUCGCCAACUCACUCUUCAAGGUCCAAUCCCAAGGCCAUCUCCGCCAUAAAACUUUCCCAGACCUAACGCAUUGCCUUGUCCCUGAACCCUCCUGACACCCUCUGUCUAUAGCCUCCUCUAGGCUGUAGGCUGGUGGGCUGGGAUAACCUAGGUUCAAAACCCAGGGCCACCACUCCCCUAAACAACCUCAGUUUUCUCUUCUGGAAAAGGGCACAACAACCUGCCUCAGGAUUCUGGAAGUUGCCAAUGAAAUAAUAAUAUCCACAGCCCACUCAGCACAAGCCUGGGUCUAGGGAGCUUAGCAAGGGUCACGCAGCAGCAGCAUCUUCAUCCUCUCUGGGAAGCAGGGCGAAGUAACAGUUAAGAGCGCGUGGGCUUGGGAACCAGCCAUAUCUAGGUUCCAGGCCUGGUGCCACUACGUCCUAACCGUGUGACCUUGGGCCGGUCACUUCCUCUCUGAGGCCCAGUUCCCUUAACGUGUGAAAUGAAGUCAUCACAGUUUCCCUGCCCCAUCACAGGACCUGUUGGGAAGGUCCAAAGACAUAACGUACACGGGGUAAAAAAGCCAGCUCAGCCCAGGGCCCGGCGCGUCGAGAUUGCUCAUGCAGGUCUACACUCUGCUACAACCUAUACAACUCCUUUAAGGGCACAGAUAACACUUGACGUAUCUUUGCAUCGCUCCCUGCCUCAGCCUAGCCCAGAACCUCUGCAGCUGGCAGGCCCACAAUAAAUCAUUGUUGAAUUGAAUCGAAAACCCAAACCAGAUGUGCCUCCUCCCCUGUCAAAUGAAGCUUUCAAGCUGGCAGGCUGGACUUGCCGCCCCCUUCAGCUCCCCCUCCCUCCCUGCGAAGGGCUCUGGGGAACGAAGCAGGAGGGGAUGGGAAGAGCGGAGGGCCAGGCGGGACAAGCUGGGUAGGAAGCACACGCGGGCCGCUCCCGGGGACUCUGGGCAAACUGCCUGGGAAAGGGUGUUCUCCUGAGGUCUCCGCUGAAUGAAAAGAGGCAGGUUUGAUCCGCAACGUGACACAUCAAAAAGCCCCUGACCCAUCCAGGGUCGAGCGGUGGAGGAAACCCACGUCUCCUCCCCGACACUGAAACCCAGACGUAAGCGAAGGUGUCGGGAGAAAGGUCCCUUCUCCUUCAGCAGAGACGCUGAAACUCGGGCUCAGAGAGGUUCGCCUUGGAAAUUGGGAGACUGGGCUUCAAAGCAGGGUUCGACCGGGGACAGGACAACUUUCACCAUGUAGCCACCUGGCCUUGAGGUUAGUCUUGCUUCAGAGGAACAGAGAGAUGUAUUUAUUUCACACACACACACACACACACACUCAAGAUCCCUGGGAAGAGAACACAGCUUUACUGGGGAAAAAAUACACCCUCCCCCAAUGCGAAUCUGUUGAAAGCUACAAAGACACUUGAGCCUUCAGUGUUUCUGAGCCAGAGCUGUGUAGUCGGUGCACAGGGUGUCAUGUGCUAUCCAGCACAGCGUCGAGAUGAAGAGCCAGACACCAGAAUGUGGCCGCCUGGACUGUAACUCUGGGUGUGUCACAUACUAACCUGCCUGACCCCAGGCAAGUGACUGAGCUUCCAGGUGCCUCUGUUCUCUCAUCUGUCAGUAACAGUACCUCCUUACAGAGUUGUCUAUGAGAAUGCACCGAGCUAGUGUUUGUAAAGCACCUUCCAUGUGCCUGGUGUGACUGUUUGUUAAAAAUAAUGCAU